CACCAGGUUGAUUCUGCCUGACGUAGACGCUAUACUCUAAGAUUAACCCAUGCAUGUUAUUGAAUAUAAAGAAAAGACGAACAGCUCAGUAACUCUUAUUUUAUUUGAUGUAUUAGGACUAUAACUAUGUUAAAUUAUAGAUAACAAUAAUACAAUAAGAAUAAGAUCUAUCAGUUAGUUGUUAAGGUAAUGGCUUAACAAGACUAUGACGGAUAACGGUAUUACUUUGUAAUAUUCCGGAGAAGGAGCCUGAGAGAUUGCUACUAAGUCUAAGGAUUGCAGCAGGGGCGAAACUUGACCUAUGAUAUGAUAUUGAGGCAGUUAUGAGUAGUAUUUUUAAUUAUUGUAGUAUUGUAAGUAUAUACUACAAGAUAAAUCGGAGGGCAAAUCGAGUGCCAGCAGCCGCGG
RNAcentral lists this ribosomal RNA (408 nucleotides) under Nosema granulosis. RNAcentral describes it as "SSU rRNA". It matches the Rfam family "Microsporidia small subunit ribosomal RNA", at positions 1 to 405 of the family's 1311-position model. The record is from RNAcentral. Lineage: Eukaryota; Fungi; Microsporidia; Nosematidae.